This 325-nucleotide ribosomal RNA is filed under the name uncultured prokaryote. Its description in RNAcentral is "bacterial SSU rRNA". It matches the Rfam family "Bacterial small subunit ribosomal RNA", at positions 26 to 352 of the family's 1533-position model. The record is from RNAcentral.
AGGACGAACGCUGGCGGCAUGCUUUACACAUGCAAGUCGAACGGCAGCACGGGGGGCAACCCUGGCGGCGAGCGGCGGACGGGUGAGUAAGGCAUCGGAAUCUGCCCUGAUGUGGGGGAUAACGUAGGGAAACUUACGCUAAUACCGCAUACGACCGAGAGGUGAAAGCGGGGGACCGAAAGGCCUCGCGCAGCAGGAUGAGCCGAUGUCCGAUUAGCUGGUUGGUGGGGUAACGGCCCACCAAGGCGACGAUCGGUAGCUGGUCUGAGAGGAUGAUCAGCCACACUGGGACUGAGACACGGCCCAGACUCCUACGGGAGGCAGC